Molecule: long non-coding RNA, 1341 nt
Filed under: Anser cygnoides (Swan goose)
Lineage: Eukaryota; Metazoa; Chordata; Aves; Anseriformes; Anatidae
Description: lncRNA (ENSACDG00005008165.1)
Source: RNAcentral
AUGUCACCGUGUGUUGGGAAGCGAAAGAGGGAGGCGGAGAAGGGGCAGGAGGUGCUGAAGGCACCCCAGGGAAAGGCUGUGAAGAAGGAGCCAGAGGAAACUCCGUGCACGGCGCAGCCCCCUGGGCUGAAAGGGAGGAAGAAAUCUGCAAAAGUCAAGGAGAAACCACUGCAGGAGAACAUCAUCAGCAGCUCCCUAAAGCACGAGGCUGUGGAAGGCAAAGGUCUCAGCCCAAGCCAGUGGGAUGGGAUCCGAGCGAAGGAGGCAGCUGCGUCUGGGUUGGAGGAGACUGAAUCCAGCCUUCACCAAGGGUCAUCAGCAGGGCUGGAGGACUCUUCCAGGUCACAGCCCAAAAUCUGGAGUGAGGGACCUGCAAUGGGACAGCAGCUCUUGGAGACCAAAGACAGAGUUGGGCUCCUGAGACCAAGCGGUGGUGUUGCUGGCAUGGCUGCAUCCCUUUCUGGAGAGCCUGGGGGUUCAGGGUUAUUUCUGGGGGUCACUGCUGUGAGGGAGGAGGUGGAGAAGGAGCUGGACCCCUCUGUCCCACAGCAGAAGGGGGAUGCCCGAGACCUGAAGAGGAAAAAAGAGAGAGAGAAGAAGCAAGAGCAAAGGAAGCAGAGGGAGAAGGGGUCGCUGAGAAAAGGAGGGAGCAAGAUGAAUGAAUUUGAGGAAGAUCUUGGGGGUAUAAUGGAGGGAUUCAAGGAUGAGGAUGGUGCUGAUGGGAAUGGAGACUGGGGAGUGGGACAGGGAAGAGCCAAGAGAGGGGGCAGCAGCUGUGCCCAGGGGAGGAGCAAUGAGAAGGAAAAGCAGGAGAAGGGGAAAGCAGAGAAACGCAAGAAGGUGAAAACGGAGGGGGAGGAGAAAAUGGGGAGGAAGAAAAUAAAAAAGGAAAAAAUGCUGGAAGAGGAGCAAAAGUUGGAAAGGACAAAUGAGGAAUUAGAAGCGGGAGAUGAACCAGGAGGGAUGGAGGGGAGAGAUGUGGUGGGAAAGGAAAGUGAAGAUGGGAAAGGAAUAAAGGAGGAGGAGGUGGAUGAGCAAGGGGAUGAGGGAUGGGGACAGGCUGAGAGCAUGGAGAUUGGGCUGGAGGUGAAGGAGGAAGAUGAGGCAGGGAAGGGAGAUGGGCCAGGGAAAGGGAAAAAGCAGAAAACCAAGGAGAAAAAGCCAAAAGAGAAAAAGGAGAGGGGGAAGAAAAGUGAAGAGAAGAGCGAAAAUGAGGAGAUCCCAGAGAAAACCCGGAGAAGAAAAUCUAAGGAGAAAGGAGAGGAGAAGAAAAACAAAAAGGCUAAAAAGGAGGAAAAAGAGAAAGAAAAGAAAGAGGCAGAAAAGAAGUGGAAAUGGUAA